This 915-nucleotide ribosomal RNA is filed under the name uncultured archaeon. RNAcentral describes it as "bacterial SSU rRNA". It matches the Rfam family "Archaeal small subunit ribosomal RNA", at positions 1 to 922 of the family's 1478-position model. The record is from RNAcentral.
UUCCGGUUGAUCCUGCCGGAGGUUACUGCUAUCAAGGUCCGACUAAGCCAUGCGAGUCGAAUGUAGCAAUACAUGGCGAACUGCUCAGUAACACGUGGACAACCUACCCUCAGAUCUGGGAUAAACCUGGGAAACUGGGUAUAAUACCCGAUAGUCCUCGAAUGCUGGAAUGCACCGAGGACGAAAGCUCCGGUGCCUAAGGAUGGGUCUGCGGCCUAUCAGGUAGUAGUGGGUGUAGCGUACCUACUAGCCUACGACGGGUACGGGUUGUGAGAGCAAGAGCCCGGAGAUGGAUUCUGAGACACGAAUCCAGGCCCUACGGGGUGCAGCAGGCGCGAAAACUUUACAAUGCUGGCAACAGCGAUAAGGGAACCUCGAGUGCCAGGUUACAAAUCUGGCUGUCGAGAUGCCUAAAAAGCAUUUCAUAGCAAGGGCCGGGCAAGACCGGUGCCAGCCGCCGCGGUAACACCGGCGGCUCGAGUGGUAACCGUUAUUAUUGGGUCUAAAGGGUCUGUAGCCGGCCGGAUAAGUCUCUUGGGAAAUCUGGCAGCUCAACUGUCAGGCUAUCAGGAGAUACUGUCUGGCUCGAGGCCGGGAGAGGUGAGAGGUACUUCAGGGGUAGGGGUGAAAUCUUGUAAUCCUUGAAGGACCACCAGUGGCGAAGGCGUCUCACCAGAACGGACCUGACGGCAAGGGACGAAAGCUAGGGGCACGAACCGGAUUAGAUACCCGGGUAGUCCUAGCCGUAAACGAUACUCGCUAGGUGUCGGCCACGGUGCGACCGUGGUCGGUGCCGUAGGGAAGCCGUGAAGCGAGCCACCUGGGAAGUACGGCCGCAAGGCUGAAACUUAAAGGAAUUGGCGGGGGAGCACCACAACGGGUGGAGCUUGCGGUUUAAAUGGAUUCAACGCCGGA